CACGUAGGGCGCAAGCGUUGUCCGGAAUUAUUGGGCGUAAAGAGCUCGUAGGCGGUGUGUCGCGUCGGCCGUGAAAACCUGCAGCUUAACUGUGGGCUUGCGGUCGAUACGGGCAUCACUGGAGUUCGGCAGGGGAGACUGGAAUUCCCAGUGUAGAGGUGAAAUUCGUAGAUAUUGGGAAGAACACCGGUGGCGAAGGCGGCUCUCUGGACCGAGACUGACGCUGAGGCGCGAAAGCGUGGGGAGCAAACAGG
This 254-nucleotide ribosomal RNA is filed under the name uncultured bacterium. RNAcentral's name for it is "partial 16S ribosomal RNA". It matches the Rfam family "Bacterial small subunit ribosomal RNA", at positions 524 to 776 of the family's 1533-position model. The record is from RNAcentral.